This is a long non-coding RNA of Corticium candelabrum, 359 nucleotides long. RefSeq lists it as uncharacterized. The record is from RefSeq and is a predicted model, not a curated record. Lineage: Eukaryota; Metazoa; Porifera; Homoscleromorpha; Homosclerophorida; Plakinidae. The transcript has 2 exons.
AGAGCUGAUGGUAUGGAUGUGUUCAAGGUGAAUUAGCAAACUUUAGAUAGCACAAGGCAAAGGCAAUUUUCUGAUGAGCGAUUGAGAAGCGAUGCCAUACCUUCAAGCAGUGUAUCAGGAUGUGUGAAGAAUAUUGGAAGGUGGAUCGGGGAAUGACAUGUCAAAGUACUAUCUAGCAAAAUCUAGCGACUGCUGUGACAUUUCUUACCAGAUUUAUGACGUUUGUUUACCAGUUUACAAUGCUGUAUACGCAUAACUCAAUCUUAACCAGUUAUAGUCAUUACCAGUUGGAUAUAACAGUGUACGCUCUAGAUGUUGAAGAAAGACUCAAAGUAACAUGAUAAUGUUUUGUGCUUGUA